GACGAACGCUGGCGGCGUGCUUAACACAUGCAAGUCGAGCGGUAAGGCCCUUUCGGGGGUACGACGAGCGGCGAACGGGUGAGUAACACGUGGGUGACCUGCCCUCAGCUCUGGGAUAAGCCUGGGAAACCGGGUCUAAUACUGGAUAUGACUCCAUGACGCAUGUUGUGGGGUGGAAAGCCUUGUGCGGCUGAGGAUGGGCCCGCGGCCUAUCAGCUUGUUGGNGGGGUGAGGCCUACCAAGGCGACGACGGGUAGCCGG
Molecule: ribosomal RNA, 261 nt
Filed under: uncultured bacterium
Lineage: Bacteria
Description: partial 16S ribosomal RNA
Rfam family: Bacterial small subunit ribosomal RNA
Source: RNAcentral